Molecule: long non-coding RNA, 5182 nt
Filed under: Sus scrofa (pig)
Lineage: Eukaryota; Metazoa; Chordata; Mammalia; Artiodactyla; Suidae
Description: lncRNA (ENSSSCG00000053921.1, ENSSSCG00105011406.1)
Source: RNAcentral
UUGGCACUAGAAUUGGGGCUUGGUUGCUCUAAUGCCAGAACUCCAUGCUCACACUCUGCUUUUUGUGCCAAAGUUAGAUGCUCAGAUUUGAAAGCUAAAAUUUAUCAAGUUUUAGCACUGCCUCUCCACAGCCAAAUGAUAAUGGCAUAAAAAAGGUACAUUUUUUUUACUUCAGUUUAAAAGUAGAACUGCCACAUUAAGAUAAAUUCACUCUCCUCAAACAAUUCAGGUAUGAAACAUUUCCCUGUCAAUGAACUCAUCUUAAAGUGGCUAGAGAGCUUUUUCUGAUUCUGUUGUACACUGGGUCGGGUGGCCUGGUGCCAAUUUCCUCUGGCAUUUAGCUUUAGAUAAAUAUUUAUUUUCUCUGUCCUGGACACUAAUCAUAUCCUUUGAUAUUAAGAACUGCUUUAACAUGAAUAGUAAUUUAAAGACAUUAAGGUGGCCAUAUUUGAUGAAAUAGUCUCUAGACAGUUUUUUAAAAUGUGAUCCCAUUGUAAGCCACAACCUCACUAUUCUGGUUUAUCCUGAGGCCACACAAUUAUUUUUCAUGUUAUGAUACUGAAGCUCCUAUGCAUCCUUUUCUGGCUAUAUCAUGCCCAUAAUAUAAAAAGCUAUAGAAACAUCGGGAAUUCUCUAUAAUAAGAAAUGCUUAUUAAGUGCUCACAGGUUAUAUCCCUGAAGUCCUAAACUCUGUGUCAGCACUUCUUAUUUCCUGGUUGCACCACAGAACCAUCUAAGGAACAAUGUAAAAAUUAUCUUUGCCCUGGCACUACCCCAGACCAAUUGAAUCAGAAUCUCCCAAAGUAGGGCUUAGACAUCAAUGCUUUUAAAGCUCCCCUGUUGAUUCAAAUGUGCAGCUAGAGUUGAGAAAACUCUUCUGUGUAAAGGGAUAGUCUACAUCUUUGUGGAAGCAAAUCAAGAAUGUAAUGAGAAAGUACAACCAAAUAAAGAAAUCCUAAAUCAGUGAUCCUAAUACACACAUACAUUAACUUGCUAAUUUUCAGCAAGGCAAGAAUUAAGGAUGCUCUAAAGAGUCACCAGAUUUUUCCUGUUUUUACUUUAUUUUGCAUUUCCUUUAUGCAUCUCUCUUUUCUUUUUUUUUUUUGGAGGAGUUAUUAUUGUGGCUCAGUGAGUUAAGGACCUGACAUGGUGUCCAUGAGGUAUGGGUUCGAUUCCUAGUGUCGCUCAGUGGUUUAAUGAUCUGGUGUUGAUGCAAGCUGCAGCAUAGGUCAUAGAUACAGCUUGAAACUGGUAUUGCUGUGGCUGUGGCGUAGGCCUGUAGCUGCAGCACUGGGUAACCCCUAGCCCGGAAACUUCCAUAUGCCACAGGUGAGGCCAAAAAAGGAAAAAGAACAGUGGAGUUGCUUGCUUGUGGAAAGAGAAUGUGUGUGAGUGUUGUCAUAUAUACCGUACAGAGUGAAUUUGCUACUGAAAAAUGGAAUAUAAAAUGCCUUUUCUGUCUGUUGUGCAAACAAGGGAAAAUGGGAAACAGCACUCACUUGAUGCCUCCUAGAGAAACAUUUAUGGCAAAACUUGGAGCAACAGCUCUGUGUGGGCUUGGUGGCCCAUUCUAGGAUAGUGCUCUGAGGUCUGACCCAGUCAUUUCAGACUCUGAAGAAGUGGCCUGCUCUUGAGUUGUAGGAGUGUUAGGCUGCAGAGUUAGGGAGGUUCAGACCUCUUUCUGGUAUGAUUAGGGCUAUGACACAAGAGGAAUCGGACAUGGUGGAAGCCUGGCUCUAACUCUGUCCUGGCAGCCCAGUGUUAGCGGGUUUGGGUUUGGUAUCACUUAACAUGAGAGGCCCGUCCUUAUGGGUACAAUUAUGUGAACUGGCAAGCUGGUGGCAGUGUUUGCUCUGUCAGCAUUCAUGAUCAGAGGAAUCCUAAGCCCUCCUCUCGUGUCAUAGGGCCUACAAUCCUUGACUGGCCAAGACUGAUCAUGUUAAAACCAGGGCCACUGCCAGUUUUGCCCAGGACUUUACUAUAGGCCAAUUCGUUUCCCAAGAGGCUAAUCAGGAAGAGGUCAAUUUUUAAAAAGUUAACGCUAACCAUCACCCAGUCUAUUUCUCUCAUUCACAGGACAGAAUGGCACUUCUUGAGUGAACAGCCUAUCCCAUGGAGUUUGUAAGCACUCUCAGGCUUAUCAUUAGCAUCCCAAGAGACUCUAGGAACUGACUGUAAAUGGCUGAGUAUCACCCUGGUAAUGCACAUCACACACACUUGAGCCUGAAAGAAAGGGGCGAUUUUUAAGAAAAGCCUAUAAACACGCAUGGUCUAGUCUAGAAUGUAUUGUGACCUUCGAGGUGAGUCAGUAUCUACAGCCAUAGUCCAAGUGUCCCCAAGGGCCCCAAAUCCUUUUGGAGAAAGAGAGCGCUAUCCCCAUGCUGCUUUCUCAGUUCCAGUUACUGUUACUAUACCUCCACCUGAGAGGCAUUAAAUUAAAACAUGUGAACUCAGUAAAAUAACAUUAGCCAGUAUUUACUGAGUACUUAAUAUGAAUUAGGAACCAUUUUAAGUAUUUUUAUUUAAUGACUCAUUACAUUAUUCUUUGCAAGAAAUUUGUAAAAGAGUUAUUAUUAUUAUCUUAUUUUUAGGGAAGAUUGAGUCAUUAAGAGGUAAAGUCACUAGCCAAAGAUGAUGAGGCAAAUAGGUGACAGAACUUGAUUUCAGACGAUACACUGUGGAUUCAGAUCUGGCAUCACCGCUUGUCAAGGCAUGAGUGAAGUAUGUUUUUUGAAAAAUGAAUUUUUAAGGAGUUUGAAUAAGAGUGAGAAGACUAGUUAAGAUGGCAUCUCAGUAGUCAAUGUGACUUAGACGAGGUUAUGUCACUGCAACAGGAAGCAUGUAGACAGGAUUCAAGAGGUGCUUGGGAAAUUGGAAUCAGCAAGACUUGGUGAUGGAGUAUUGGUGGCAGGUAAGCAAGAGAUAUGUAUCAAUCACUGUUCUCAGCUUCCUAUCUGGUGAAAUGAGAUAGGGGGCACUGGAGAUAAAGGAAGUUGUGUCUGGAAGAUCAUGAAUUGUGUUUUGGAUGUGAUAAAUUUGAGAGAACCAUGAUAUUUCAAAUGGAAUAAUCAAGCAGGUUGUCGUGUGCAUUCUUUACAUUUCCUCUCAACAUCAUGAUCAAAAAAGUUGCUUUGGCUGGAGUUUUGAAUUGAGUGUGUCACAGUGAAGCUAUGGAGGGCUAAUAAAUUAUAGAAAAGGAAAAUCAAGCAAAGGGAUUCCGAAAGCAUCCUAUGCAAUUUGUCAUUUAGAACCCUGGCAAUGGAAGGGCAACUCACACUUCAUAUUGAGAAGAAUGGUCUAGAGAAGACACAAAAUGAUAGAAUUAUGGAAUCUCAGGUGUAAAUGAGAUAGAAGAAAGGCAGACUAUAUUAGCAGUAGUAGAGAUAAAUGAAAAAACAAACAGUAAAACUUGAUGAUUGCCAAUGUUGUAGGUAGGCAUCAAGGGAGGAUUCAAAGAUACACGUAUGGUUUUAUAAUAUGGAUACUGUAGAAAACAAUACUGAAGUAAAAUUUUGUUAAUCAGGGAAUGGGAAUUCAUUUUGACCUAAUUUCUAGGCAUCAUUUAUUUUUAUUUAUUUUGUAGAAAAAAAGUCAGUUACUACUGGUAAAAAAGUGAAUAUGAUAAGACACGUGGGAGGAAUUCCUGGUGGCCUAGCAGUUAAAGAUUCGUCAUUGUCACUGCUAUGGCUUGGGUUCGAUCCUGAGCCUGGGAAUUUCUGCACCCAUGGGUAUGGUCAAAAAAAGAAGGAUGGAAAUACUAAUUUUGAACAGCUAAACAUAUAUCAAUGAUCUGAUAACUUUUAUAAACUUAAAACUAAAAUCAGGAAAAUGAAUAUUCUAUUUAAAUAUUUAGAAGCAUGUCAGUAAUGUUGGCUUGUGCAGACCUUUUCAUAGGAAAUAAGCUAUUAAGUUAUCUUAAGCAACAACCAGAAUUAAGAGUGUUACUUCAGAUGUUUUCCUAGAACCUCAAAACACAUUCCCAAGUACCCAUGGGUCAUCUAAAUAGAUACUGAUUUAUUCUUUGUCAAAUAUUUAAUAUUCAGUUUUCACAUGACAGUACUUUUUUCCUAAUGCCAUUCUACUUGUGCAUCAAUACUGUUAAUAUUGUUAUCAGAUUAUCAUUAAAAUAGUUAUAUAAUACAUAUUAUGGGAAAAAUUGAUUACUACAAGAUCUAGAUAAAUAGAAAUGGAUACAGAUAGAGAAUGUCUACACACAGAUAUUAUCCAAUGUUCGGUAUUUAUAAGACAACAAACUGAGAAUGUGAAAAUGUGUGUUCUAAGGUCUAGACUCUGAACUCCAUGUCCCUUAUGGGAAAAAACAAAAACAGAAACACUUUUCUUUAUUUUCUGUUCCUGCACAAAUUUUAUACUUUUUAUACUUUAGAUGCUCAAAAGUUCUCUCAAAUAUAUAUCCCUACAUGUAAAAUAAGUAUUUUUAUACAGUGGAUUUAGUCUAUUUUAAAUCCUCUUUAAAGGUAAAUAGUUGAACCUGAUGUUCUAGAAAUCUUUCUAGGUCUAAUUAAUUUUUUAAAAAAUUUCAGCUCAUAUGUGUGCCUGCAGACAUGCACAGACACAUAUCAGUUUGGCAUUUGUUUUAUUUCUUACUAGUUUUACUUAUUUGUUUAGAUUAAUUUAAUAAUUAUCUACUAGAGUCCCAAAUAGAUUAGUUUGUUUGUUAUAGAAAAUAUAGGCAUACCCUAAGGAUAUUGUGGGUUUAGUUCCAGACAACUGCAAUAAAGCAAAUAUCUCAGUAAAACAAGUCACGCAAAUUUUUAGUUUCUGAGUGUAUAAAAAAGUUAUAUUUAUACUAUAUUGUAGUCUAUUAAGAAUGCAAUAGCAUUAUUUCUGAAAAUGAAAUGUAUAUACCUUAAUUUAAAAAAAUCUUUAUUGCUAUAAAAUGCUAAUCAUCAUCUGAGACUUCAGUGAGUCAUAAUCUCUUUUGCUGGUGGAGUAUCACAGUGAGGCUAUGGCAGGCUAAUAAACUAAGGAAAAAGGAAAAUAGAGGAAAGGGUUUUGGAAAGCAUCCUAUGCAAUUUGUCAUUUAGAACCCAGGCAAUGGCAAGGCAACCCACACUUCAUAUUGAGAAGAAUGGUCUAGAGAAGACACAAAAUGAUACCUAGAAUUCUAGAAUCUCAGGUGUAAAUGAGGUGGAAGAAAGGCAAAGUAUAUUAGUAUUAGUAG